ACCAUUUAUUUCUCCCGACCGGAAGGUGGCC
Molecule: non-coding RNA, 31 nt
Filed under: Rattus norvegicus (Norway rat)
Lineage: Eukaryota; Metazoa; Chordata; Mammalia; Rodentia; Muridae
Source: RNAcentral